AAGUCUAGACACAAUCAUCAGAUUAAGAUUCAUUUUUAGAUACUUUGGAAUCUAAACACACUCACAGAUCUAAAUUUCAUACCAAAACCAGUGAUGGUGGUUAAAUAUGAGUAAAGAAGCACAUUUGAAAAAUUGGUUUUUGAGUUUGAAUAGAUUGAGUAAAGAAUAUGGGUUAGUUGAAAAGCUGAGACUUGACUUGAAGUGCAUAAGAAGACUAUAUUUUCUUUAGCGAUGAAGAAGAAAGGGAUGAAAUAUUUUAUAAUAAUAAUUAUAUAAAAAGGGUAUUGUAUAGAAGAGGUUAAAGGAAAAAGAUUUGUUUUUUUGGUGAUUUUCUUCUCUGUUGUGUUGUGUUUGUUCUGUUAUUUGUGUGUGUUGUGUUUUUUUUGUUGUGUUUAUUUAAAUAUUAAUGGGAGUGUGUGAAGAAAAAGGAGAUUUGGACCGAAUCUUUUAUUUGGAGUGAUAUAUUCUAUAACAAUUUUUUUUUGUUACUUACUUUUUUUUGUUUGUUUUAUGUUUCUAUUUAUUUUUUUUGACGAAAUGUGUUUCUUUUUUCUAAAUUAAUUAAAAUUUGAUUUGUAUUUUUGUAUUAUUAUUGUUUGUGAUAAUUAUAUAGUUUUAUUAUCGAGACCGGUUCAUUCUAUCGGUUUAAUUCGGUUUAAUCCGGUUUAUCAUGUAGUUCGACCAGUGACCCGAUGGUUCGACCAAUGAACCAGUGAACCAGUACCCUCACCGGUUUGAUGUCCGGUCCGGUUUUUAAAACACUGC
RNAcentral lists this long non-coding RNA (765 nucleotides) under Trifolium pratense (red clover). RNAcentral describes it as "long non-coding RNA (TPRA_LNC004432)". The record is from RNAcentral. Lineage: Eukaryota; Viridiplantae; Streptophyta; Magnoliopsida; Fabales; Fabaceae.